Non-coding RNA from Arachis ipaensis, 1234 nucleotides. NCBI's taxonomy places the organism in Eukaryota, Viridiplantae, Streptophyta, Magnoliopsida, Fabales, Fabaceae. The record is from RefSeq and is a predicted model, not a curated record.
GAAUUUUGUUGUUUUUUUUAUUCUAGAAAAAAGGUGCAAUUCCCUUGGAGAAUUUCAAAAACCCAUACAAGAUAAAAUCUGAACUGCAGUAUGAUGUGAAAAGUUAUUGCAUAUAUGGAGUACUAUUUUGAAACCAAAACUGGUGCUAAUUUUUACUAUUUUUUUUGUUUGCAAAUGUUUGGUUGGUUUUGAGGACUUGUUUUUGUUUAUUUGUUUUGCCUUCUGGGUGAUGCAGGCAAAUCUUUUGACUGGAAUUGUACUUUUCAUGAUCUGCAGUUAUGUUUUGGUGUAAAAGAAUUUUUGCUCAUUGCUCCUCAAAGUGCAAGUGGUGUAGUUCUUGAUGCACCAGAGGCUAGCAGGCUAUUAAGUGCUGUUGCAAUUGCUAUGUCAAAUAGUUUAAGAGACUAUGGUGGGUUUCUUUCCUCUCUAAUUGCUCAAGAUCUCUUCAUUUGUCCAUCUUAAAUGAAGUGAUCUGACUUUUUAACUUGCUUCUAACUUUAUACCCAUGUCAAAUGGGAAGUAGCCCAGUAUUUCUUUCUACACUCCAUGUGAUGGAAUCUAUCUUUUUAGCUAGAACGAGUUCUUACGGAUUUUGUGCUGGAGUUGUAGAUUUUCUGUUCUUGGUAUUAGAUUUCUUUGUUUUCUCUUUCCAAAUAGGAUAUUGUGCAAAGCUUAUUUUUGGUUUUAUAAUGUAACUGUUUAGGAUGCUAGUUUCAAUCGUAAUAAUUCCAGUGAAGUUUCUUCUCCAGUUGUUGGGUACCUUCCAGGUUAUAUGGACUAUCAAGUAGAAAUGAGACCACGGAUCCCUAAUUUUGUUUGUAUCAUUGCUGCAGGCCAUGCAAUUGCUACAGCUGCAAUUGUCUUCCCUCCAUCAAUCAAAAUGGAGGAGGAGGAGCUGUUUCAGUUGCUCUUGUCCUCAAUCAAAAUGCUGGCAAGGUAGAGACGACUUCGGAAUUGGUGCAUUCUCCCAAAAUCCUGCACUUGUUCUUGCCCCAGUUGUCCAAGAUAAAUAGCAAUGAGUAUAUUUGGUAGAAGGCUAAUGCUAGAGAGACAAAGGAAGAACUAAUUGAUAGAGGGCCUAAGUUCCUGGACUAGUAUAUUUCUGUUCACAAAAAUCUUUGUUGCUAAUUGUUUACAAUUAUAUAAAGAGCAGUGUAUUAUAGAUGUGCUAAAGGAUAACUCUAUUCAUUUUGUAGAAGCUAAUUUAAUUUUACUUAUCUUCUUUUUAUUUUAA